RNAcentral lists this ribosomal RNA (169 nucleotides) under Bathycongrus bleekeri. RNAcentral's name for it is "partial 12S rRNA". Lineage: Eukaryota; Metazoa; Chordata; Actinopteri; Anguilliformes; Congridae. The record is from RNAcentral.
CACCGCGGUUAUACGAGAGGCUCAAAUUGAUAUUUUACGGCGUAAAGGGUGAUUAGAGAUAAACAAAACUAAAGCCAAAUACUUCCUAAGCUGUUAUACGCUAAUAGAAGCACGAAGCCCUGCAACGAAAGUGGCCUUAACUACUCUUGAACUCACGACUAUUAAGAAA